RNAcentral lists this ribosomal RNA (893 nucleotides) under uncultured bacterium. RNAcentral's name for it is "bacterial SSU rRNA". It matches the Rfam family "Bacterial small subunit ribosomal RNA", at positions 46 to 916 of the family's 1533-position model. The record is from RNAcentral.
GCCUAACACAUGCAAGUCGAGCGAGAAAGCCCGCAAGGGUGAGUACAGCGGCGCACGGGUGCGUAACACGUGAGUAAUCUGCCCUGAAGCCCGGAAUAACCUCCCGAAAGGGAAGCUAAUACCGGAUGAGCCCACGGGGUCCUCGGACCCUGAGAGAAAAGGCGGCCUCUGUAUACAAGCUGUCACUUCAGGAUGAGCUCGCGGCCCAUCAGCUAGUUGGCGGGGUAAUGGCCCACCAAGGCUACGACGGGUAGCUGGUCUGAGAGGACGAUCAGCCACACUGGAACUGAGACACGGUCCAGACUCCUACGGGAGGCAGCAGUGGGGAAUCUUGCGCAAUGGGCGAAAGCCUGACGCAGCAACGCCGCGUGUGUGAUGAAGGUCUUCGGAUCGUAAAGCACUGUCGCGAGGGACGAAUAAGGGCCGGGUGAACAAUCCGGUUCGAUGACGGUACCUCGAGAGGAAGCACCGGCUAACUCUGUGCCAGCAGCCGCGGUAAUACAGAGGGUGCAAGCGUUGUUCGGAAUUAUUGGGCGUAAAGCGCGUGUAGGCGGCCUGGCAAGUUGGGUGUGAAAGCCCUCGGCUUAACCGAGGAAGUGCGCCCAAAACUACGAGGCUUGAGUACCGGAGAGGGUGGCGGAAUUCCCGGUGUAGAGGUGAAAUUCGUAGAUAUCGGGAGGAACACCAGUGGCGAAGGCGGCCACCUGGACGGAUACUGACGCUGAGACGCGAAAGCGUGGGGAGCAAACAGGAUUAGAUACCCUGGUAGUCCACGCCGUAAACGAUGAGCGCUAGGUGUUGUGGGUGUUGACCCCUGCAGUGCCGCAGCUAACGCAUUAAGCGCUCCGCCUGGGAAGUACGGCCGCAAGGCUAAAACUCAAAGGAAUUGAUGG